This 307-nucleotide ribosomal RNA is filed under the name uncultured eukaryote. RNAcentral's name for it is "partial 18S ribosomal RNA". It matches the Rfam family "Eukaryotic small subunit ribosomal RNA", at positions 1470 to 1796 of the family's 1831-position model. The record is from RNAcentral.
CCCUUAGACGUUCUGGGCCGCACGCGCGCUACACUGACGAAGGCAACGAGCUUUCCUUUACCGAAAGGUACGGGUAAUCUUUUGAAACUUCGUCGUGCUGGGGAUAGAUCCUUGCAAUUUUUGAUCUUAAACGAGGAAUGCCUAGUAAGCGCAAGUCAUCAACUUGCAUUGAUUACGUCCCUGCCCUUUGUACACACCGCCCGUCGCUACUACCGAUUGAAUGGUUUAGUGAGGCCUUCGGAUCCGCGACUCGUUUGUGGAGAAGUUGGACAAACUCAGUCAUUUAGAGGAAGUAAAAGUCGUAACA